Long non-coding RNA from Girardinichthys multiradiatus, 827 nucleotides. RefSeq lists it as uncharacterized. Lineage: Eukaryota; Metazoa; Chordata; Actinopteri; Cyprinodontiformes; Goodeidae. The transcript is spliced from 2 exons. The record is from RefSeq and is a predicted model, not a curated record.
GGAACGAGAAAAACCUUCAGCUUCUGCGUCAACAUACUGGAAAAGCAGCUGAAAAUAGGAAUAUAGCACCAGUUCAGAGCAAAUGUCAUCUCAAGGCAGAUGAUAAAACAGAGAGUUCUAAGCAUGUAGCUACAGUGGUAAGUAAGGACUCCAUAUUAACAAGAAAAACCUCUAGUAGAACCAUGCUCAGUAUAAGUGGCCAUCUGCUGUGAUUGGCUAGCUUUAGAGGGCAGAAAGUAAACAGAAAAAAAAAACACAGAAGCACCAGUCCAGGAGUAGUUUAUUUGGGAAAGAAUACAGCACACACCGUUAGUGACAUCACUAAUACCAUUAGUAGUUCCAUCUAAGAAACACAAUAAAACAAGAAAGCACUGAGCCAGUAGUAGUAUCAAUGGGAUAAGAAAAUUAAGAGUAAAUACCUGCAGCAAUAGCUCACUGGCAUUAUCCUUGAAAGAGACAGUUAAAGACAAAAUCCCUAGGCAGAGUGUAUCUUCUAUGAAAACAACAAGAAUGAGAACAUACACUUUAUUAGAUUAUGACACACAACACAAAUACACCACACAAAGGUUUCUAUUUACUGCUGCAAUUUCUAGUUAUGAUUAAAGUUCCUUGUCAGGUUAAACACAAUUUUGUGGCCUCACACAUUUAAGAUAAUAAAAGGAAUAGAAGUGUUGCACAUAUAUUUAUUCUGAACUUUUGUUAUUUUAUUUAGAGAGCACUCACAUGUUGCAUUUCUAAUUUAACAAAUAAAUAUUAAAAUCGUUUAGAAUUUCUUCCUUUAGGAAUUUCUUUCUUUAGGAAGUGGCAUAGAGAAACACUUUUAGAAU